GAUGAACGCUGGCGGCGUGCCUAAUACAUGCAAGUCGAGCGAACAGACGAGGAGCUUGCUCCUCUGACGUUAGCGGCGGACGGGUGAGUAACACGUGGAUAACCUACCUAUAAGACUGGGAUAACUUCGGGAAACCGGAGCUAAUACCGGAUAAUAUAUUGAACCGCAUGGUUCAAUAGUGAAAGACGGUUUUGCUGUCACUUAUAGAUGGAUCCGCGCCGCAUUAGCUAGUUGUUAAGGUAACGGCUUACCAAGGCAACGAUGCGUAGACGACCUGAGAGGGUGAUCGGCCACACUGGAACUGGGACACGGUCCAGACUCCUACGGGAGGCAGCAGUAGGGAAUCUUACGCAGAGGGCGAAAGCCUGACGGAGCAACGCCGCGUGAGUGAUGAAGGUCUUCGGAUCGUAAAACUCUGUUAUUAGGGAAGAACAAAUGUGUAAGUAACUAUGCACGUCUUGACGGUACCUAAUCAGAAAGCCACGGCUAACUACGUG
RNAcentral lists this ribosomal RNA (497 nucleotides) under uncultured bacterium. Its description in RNAcentral is "partial 16S ribosomal RNA". It matches the Rfam family "Bacterial small subunit ribosomal RNA", at positions 28 to 507 of the family's 1533-position model. The record is from RNAcentral.